RNAcentral lists this long non-coding RNA (239 nucleotides) under Homo sapiens (human). Its description in RNAcentral is "HSALNT0178404". Lineage: Eukaryota; Metazoa; Chordata; Mammalia; Primates; Hominidae. The record is from RNAcentral.
CUGAAGCCUAUCUCCUUUGGUGCUCCUGUCCAGAUAACAUGGAGCCCAUGGGCCCCUCGAUGCCAGGACAGUCCAUCAGAGUCUGGGAGAUGAGGCUCCUCUUGUCCCAGGAAUCUGCUCCUACCUGGGCUGAACAUUCCUGUAGCUAUUUCUCAGGGUUUGUGGGCCCCAUGCCCAUGGCCCUGGGUGUGCCUAGCUUAGUGCCACAGUAAACACUCACUCCAUCCACCAUGGCCCAG